This 74-nucleotide transfer RNA is filed under the name Patescibacteria group bacterium. Its description in RNAcentral is "tRNA-Pro". It matches the Rfam family "tRNA". From Rfam's summary of the family: Transfer RNA (tRNA) molecules are approximately 80 nucleotides in length. The record is from RNAcentral.
CGGGCUGUAGCUCAGUUGGCUAGAGCGCCUGGUUUGGGACCAGGAGGUCGUGGGUUCGAGUCCCACUAGCCCGA